This 1611-nucleotide unclassified non-coding RNA is filed under the name Hevea brasiliensis (rubber tree). The record is from RNAcentral. Lineage: Eukaryota; Viridiplantae; Streptophyta; Magnoliopsida; Malpighiales; Euphorbiaceae.
GAAACAAAGAUCUUCACCGCCUUGAUCGUGAAGAAAGUGGAAAACUCAAGGAAAAAUUGGAAGACGAGCUUGGAAAUGUUGAAGGGAAUGAUGAUGGAUGGGGAUAUGUAGGUGAAUAUGGUUAUGAUCAGUAUGAUGAGGAUGGUGAUGAAAACAGGAGUGGAAGUAGGAAUGACAAUGAGAUUGAUGGGGAAAACGAAAAUGGUUAUGAAGGGGAUUCUAAGGAAGCAGGGUUUAAUGCUAAUAGGAUUAAUAAGAGGAAGAUUAAUUAUCCUUUAAGACCUGAUGCUCAGGAUUGUCCUUAUUAUAUGAAAACAGGGAUGUGUAAAUUUGGAUCGAAUUGCAAGUUUAAUCACCCUUCCAGAAGAAGAAUCCAGCAGGGGACAAAGGAGAAGGGGAAGCAAAGGGAAGACAGCCAGGAGAGGCCAGGGCAGAUUGAAUGCAAGUAUUACCUGACAUCAGGGGGUUGCAAGUAUGGAAAAGCUUGUAAAUUUAAUCAUAGUAGGGAAAAGGGUGCCAUUUCACCAAUUGUGGAGUUCAACUUUCUUGGCCUGCCCAUCCGACCGGGGGAAAGGGAGUGCCCUUACUAUAUGCGUACUGGCUCUUGCAAGUAUGGGUCCAAUUGUAGGUUUCAUCAUCCUGAUCCUACCACUGUGGCUGGAGCUGAUCUAUCUUCUGGACAUAACAACACUGGAGCUGUUCCUGUACAAGCUGCCUCACAUUCAUCUGCAUCUUCUUGGUCUCCGCCAAGAGCAUUGAAUGACACAGCUCCUUAUGUACCAAAUAUGUACCCACCAACCCAAGGCACUGCUUCUCCAAAUAUUGAAUGGAAUGGGUAUCAGGCCCCGGCCUAUCCAACAUCAGAGAAAAGACUACCUACUCCUCCAGCAUAUGCGAUGAAUAACCCGGCAAAGACCAAUUUCUAUCCACUGUCUCAACAGUCACAGCAGGUUGAAGAAUAUCCUGAACGUCCUGGUCAACCUGAAUGCAGUUACUUCAUUAAAUUUGGAGACUGUAAAUACAGAUCUAGCUGCAAAUUUCAUCAUCCAAAGUCUAGAAUAUCAAAAGCAAACUCAAGUACUCUGAACGACAAGGGCCUGCCUCUAAGACCUGAUCAAACCGUCUGCUCAUUCUACAGCCGCUAUGGAAUAUGCAAGUAUGGUCCUGCUUGUAAGUUUGAUCAUCCAGAAAAUUAUGUUGGAUCUGCAUCAGCUGCCGAGUCUGGCUUUGAUCAACGUGAGCAAUCACAAAUGUCUCUAGGAUGGCAAGGACAGCACCUGGAAGUGGAUCACUGAUACAGCAGUCUGUAUGAGACCAGUUCCAUCUAGAGUUGAGUUUAAAACCAUAAGCCAAUGGUUGAUCUUCGGAGUCUUAAAACUCCACCGACGUGAGUAUAAGUUCUCAGAUCUAUUUAGAGGAUGGUACAUUUAUCUCUCUAUGUUUCAUGUUGUUAAAAGCGCAAGCAAAAUAGGAUACUGUAAAUUGUUGAUAGAGCAUUUUGUUUUAGAUUAAAUGAAGAUAUUGGGAUAUCAGCACAGGGGGUUGAUCUGGGCUAUUUAGCAUGUUUUCCCCUUUGAAUACAUUUUCAAAUCUUUAUCUAUCUCAUUCAUG